UUCCAAUGGAUGGCAAAUUCUAGCAACGACUUAAGAAUCAUUUGGGCCUGGAUGGGAGGGAAGGCCGGGGUGAUGGGUGCCGGGGCUCGGUCUCCCUGACUGGAAGCAUCUCGGACCACUCUUUCUGGACCCUGAUGAUGAACAGGAUGGCCAAGCUGCAGGCUCACAAGCUCUUUGGCAUCAUCUCAUGCCUUCUUUACCAUUCAAACAUCAUCCCAGCUUAUUUCAAACCACAUGAAUAGCUGAACAGUGUUGUAAAAUAUCUUCCCCGCAGAAAUAACUAUCAGAUGCCAGGUUUGAUUAGUGCUUAAGUGCUGAAUAUCUAUGGAAGGAUCUAAAUGUUAUGAUUAUUACCAAUAUGCACUAAUUGCCAUUAAGAAUUUAUAAAAUUAAUUUGCUAUAUAUAAUAAUACCCAUAGACAAAUUAGGCUGUUCCUAAAUGGCUUAAAGAAAUUAGGCUAAAGAAAAGUUUGGAAUUUCAACAAAAAACUUAAAUCUACAAUAUAAGUCCGGCAACUCACUGCCAUACUUUUAUCCCAUUAAAUAGCAUAUCAGGAAACUUUCUAAUAAAAUGUGAUUUUAAUUUUU
Long non-coding RNA from Myotis myotis, 588 nucleotides. RefSeq lists it as uncharacterized. The transcript has 2 exons. The record is from RefSeq and is a predicted model, not a curated record. Lineage: Eukaryota; Metazoa; Chordata; Mammalia; Chiroptera; Vespertilionidae.